CAGAGUGACAAGAGCAUUUGGAGAUGAAGUGAUUUCAUUCUUGUCGUCCAGCUGCAGGAACUUGAAGUCAUGCUGCAACCAUAUGUGGAGGAUGCUCCUUCACGAAUCUGGAGGCAAAAGAAUCCAAACUAACAGGUGGACAUUUGUUCCCAUGCUUCACUACGUGGCUGUGACAAUCAGCAGAGCUUGGCAAUGGCAGGAGCUCUACUGGAGUUCUUCAACUGUACAUAUGAAAAUCUCGGACCAACAGCUUCCAAGUUUGGCUACAUCCCUCCUUUUUAUGGGACUUAAUUAAAAUUAUUUUUUAACUUAUUUAAUUUAUAAACUCCAGAUGCUGCAAAUUGAACUCAUUAUCAUCAUAGCUGGGGCAGGGAAGCAGCAGAGCCAGGGAACCCCCACAGCCAGUGGGUGACCACUGGCACUUGGUGAGAAGGCCUGCAAGACCCCCAGCCAGGGGAGAAAGGUUUAGCAGGCAAGGGUGGGGCAACAGGACAAGAGCAGAUAAGCUGGCAGUAGCACUGCUAACAGUGUUUUCUGAGGGUCACAGAGAGCGAGGGCCUGCACAGGGACAAAAGGCCAAGCAAGCUGGGACACAGAGCUCCCACAGCCAUUGAUCCUUGCUGGGUACCUGCCCUCCCUCCCAGGCAGUAGAGCUUCCCAGGUCAGAUGUUUCAUUCAGAGAGAAAAGCCUGGGUGCUAGAAAGAUCCCUAUUGAAAAGCGGACAUUUAAUUUGCAAGAACAAGUGUCUUCAGGUUCAUGGUGGCAUGGUGGUUGCUAUUUUGCCAUCAUGUAAAUGGAUACAGUAGCAAAAUGAACAGACUUCCUCCUGAAGGAUUUGGUUUUGUCUGGUACUUCCUGCAACAGCAGUGUACCAAUAAAGGCAAUGAAACUGACA
This 896-nucleotide long non-coding RNA is filed under the name Phasianus colchicus (ring-necked pheasant). Its description in RNAcentral is "lncRNA (ENSPCLG00000002226.1)". Lineage: Eukaryota; Metazoa; Chordata; Aves; Galliformes; Phasianidae. The record is from RNAcentral.